Gorilla gorilla gorilla (western lowland gorilla) is the source of this 228-nucleotide long non-coding RNA. RefSeq lists it as uncharacterized. NCBI's taxonomy places the organism in Eukaryota, Metazoa, Chordata, Mammalia, Primates, Hominidae. The record is from RefSeq and is a predicted model, not a curated record. The transcript has 3 exons.
ACAGGGCUUGUGGAAAUAAUCUUCAAAUUAUGUAAUAUAUUAGCUGACCAAAGAAGAAAGGCAGAUCUUCAAUAGGAACGGAGAGUGAGCCUGUGCCCUAAGAGACUGGUCAAAAUGGCCAGGUAAUAGGAGAAACCAUCAAGCUAAUUAACACAAGAGCACAGAGCAUAUAAACAAACAUGCACACUAACACCCAGGACGGAUAUAUCUAAGUUUACUCAUCGGACC